AUUGAACGCUGGCGGCAUGCCUUACACAUGCAAGUCGAACGGCAGCACGGGUGCUUGCACCUGGUGGCGAGUGGCGAACGGGUGAGUAAUACAUCGGAACAUGUCCUGUAGUGGGGGAUAGCCCGGCGAAAGCCGGAUUAAUACUGCAUACGAUCUACGGAUGACAGCGGGGGACCUUCGGGCCUCGCGCUAUAGGGUUGGCCGAUGGCUGAUUAGCUAGUUGGUGGGGUAAAGGCCUACCAAGGCGACGAUCAGUAGCUGGUCUGAGAGGACGACCAGCCACACUGGAACUGAGACACGGCCCAGACUCCUACGGGAGGCAGCAGUGGGGAAUUUUGGACAAUGGGCGAAAGCCUGAUCCAGCAAUGCCGCGUGUGUGAAGAAGGCCUUCGGGUUGUAAAGCACUUUUGUCCGGAAAGAAAUCCUUGGCCCUAAUACGGUCAGGGGAUGACGGUACCGGAAGAAUAAGCACCGGCUAACUACGUG
Molecule: ribosomal RNA, 486 nt
Filed under: uncultured bacterium
Lineage: Bacteria
Description: partial 16S ribosomal RNA
Rfam family: Bacterial small subunit ribosomal RNA
Source: RNAcentral